ACCAGCCAUUUGAGGACUGAUGUGGUAACAGUGGGGUGACCUUCCUCUCUGCCUCUCUCCUGGGAGCAGGACGAGCCAUUCCCUGCUCUGCAGAAGGCAAAGGGAGGGGGGCAGUGAUGACAUCAGCGGGAGGGCCUGGAGAGAGACAUGUUUGUGCAGCACAUUCUAUGAACAUGGGAGGAUGAGAUCACUGAACCAUCUACUGCACGAACAGAGGCAGCACCGCAGCCAGACACAGGGCCAUGUGCUCAGAGUCGAUGUGAAGCAAGUUCGAUCAGUAAGGAGGUCAUGUCUGCUUCAGACAACCACUUACAUGAUUAAGGGACAGGGUAGGCUGCUGGAGCAAAGAGGUCCUGCCAUGGACAGAGUAUUUGUGUCUCCACAAAAUAUAUAUGUUGAAACUUAAUCUCCAAGGGUCUCUGAGUCCUCCAGCCAAUGGAGCACCUUGGAAGUGACAUUCUGUGACCUCUGGCCGUGCCAUUCCUGCCUCAUUCACUGGAAUGCUUGCCGCCAGGUCAGAAGACCAACCAUCCUAUGUGACCAUGCCAGAGAGGCCACAUGUGGGUACUCCAGCCCACAGUCCUGCAGCUCUCACCCAUCCCAUCUCAGAAGUGGAUCCUCUUGCCUCAGGUGACCUGUCCCCACAUCUGAGUCCUCCCAGCUGAGGCCCAAGUGUCAUGGAACAGAAAAAGGCCAGCUCCGAUGUGCCCUGACCCAUAGAAUCCCCAAGAAUAAUAAAGGGACUGU
Molecule: long non-coding RNA, 747 nt
Organism: Manis pentadactyla (Chinese pangolin)
Lineage: Eukaryota; Metazoa; Chordata; Mammalia; Pholidota; Manidae
Exons: 3
Source: RefSeq, a predicted model, not a curated record